Non-coding RNA from Solanum lycopersicum (tomato), 1123 nucleotides. NCBI's taxonomy places the organism in Eukaryota, Viridiplantae, Streptophyta, Magnoliopsida, Solanales, Solanaceae. The record is from RefSeq and is a predicted model, not a curated record.
AAAAAAGUAUAGGCCUUGUGCGUAAAAAUAGGUUCUUCUUACGGCUGUCCCUGCCGUUGGAUCUGUGUAUAGCGCAGAAAGCCAUUAAAGCUCAGCAUCCAUUUUCCGCCAAAUUCCUUUGUCAAACAAAACUUAACAAAAUAUUCUGUUUGAUCAACCUCUACCUACGAUCAUCCAUAGAUUUAGGGUUCCGGUACACUGAGAAUGGCGGAGCCGGCAAGUCCAGGAGGCGGCGGCGGAAGCCAUGAGAGUGGCGGUGACCCGAGUCCUCAGUCCAACUUGCGAGAACAGGAUAGGUACCUACCGAUCGCUAAUAUUGGACGCAUAAUGAAGAAGGCAUUGCCUGCUAAUGGGAAGAUCGCUAAGGAUUCUAAAGACACGGUUCAGGAAUGCGUAUCUGAGUUCAUCAGUUUUAUUACUAGCGAAGCUAGUGACAAGUGUCAGAAAGAGAAGAGAAAGACGAUCAACGGAGAUGAUUUACUAUCAGCCCUGGCUACCUUGGGAUUUGAGGACUACAUUGAACCACUGAAGGUCUAUUUGACUCGAUACAGAGAGAUGGAGGGAGAUGCCAAGGGAUCUGCAAGGGUUGGUGAUGCAUCUGUUAGAAAAGAUGUAGUUGGAUGUCAGCUUGGGUCCAAUACGCAGUUCAUGUAUGAAGGUUCUUUUGCACAAGGCUUAGACUAUGGAAACUCCCAAUUAUGAAUUUUAAGAUGAACAAAGAACUUUGGAUGCAUACCCAAAAAAAAGCUGAAUACAUAGAACAGUGGUACCGUAUUAGUCAUGGACUAUCAGGCCCAUGGUAACCUCAGACCGGAAAUGCAACAGAAAGUUUCACCGGGUACCCUAUUUCGUCGCUCCUGUUUAACAUGUAUCUAUUUUUUUUAAAAAAAAGGCAGACUGAUAAGUAUAGGCAGCUUCAGACAAAAUUGUUUCUGCUAAUCAGUUGUCUCCUUCUAUCUCGUUGUAUUUGUGUCUAUACCUCAUUUCAUUGUAGGUAAAAGCAAAACUUUGAAGUUAAUUUUUUUUUACAUUAUAUUUCGAGACAGAUUAAAAAAGAAAGUGUGCUAUAUUAAACGGGACAAAAGAAGUACUUCUUAUUUGGAGUUAAGAGCUAGUUACAUUA